AGGGUUUGAUCCUGGCUCAGGACGAACGCUGGCGGCGUGCUUAACACAUGCAAGUCAAGGAGAAAGUUUCUUUAGGGGGAUGAGUAAACUGGCGCACGGGUGAGUAAAAUGUAAGUAAUCUGCCCUUUGGAUGGGAAUAACUACUAGAAAUGGUGGCUAAUACCGAAUAAUGCAGCGGCACCGAGUGGUGAUGUUGUUAAAGACCGAAAGGUUGCCAAGGGAUGAGCUUGCAUCUGAUUAGCUAGUUGGCGGGGUAAAGGCCCACCAAGGCAACGAUCAGUAGCUGGUCUGAGAGGACGAUCAGCCACACUGGAACUGAGACACGGUCCAGACUCCUACGGGAGGCAGCAGUGAGGAAUAUUGGGCAAUGGCCGUAAGGCUGACCCAGCAACGCCGCGUGGAGGAAGAAGGCCGUAAGGUUGUAAACUCCUGUUAGAGGGGACGAAAAAGCGGGGCAGCACCCUGCAUUGACUGUACCCUCAGAGAAAGCCCCGGCUAACUACGUGCCAGCAGCCGCGGUAAUACGUAGGGGGCAAGCGUUGUCCGGAUUCACUGGGUGUAAAGGGCGCGUAGGCUGUUAAAUAAGUCAGAGGUGAAAUCUCACGGCUCAACCGUGAAACUGCCUUUGAUACUGUUUAACUUGAGUAUGGAAGAGAGAGACGGAAUUCCAGGUGUAGUGGUGAAAUACGUAGAUAUCUGGAAGAACACCAGAGGCGAAGGCGGUCUCUUGGUCCAUAACUGACGCUGAGGCGCGAAAGCGUGGGGAGCGAACAGGAUUAGAUACCCUGGUAGUCCACGCUGUAAACGAUGAAUGCUAGGUGUUGGGUGCAAACUCAGUGCCGACGCAAACGCAAUAAGUAUUCCACCUGGGGAGUACGAUCGCAAGGUUGAAACUCAAAGGAAUUGACGGGGGCCCGCACAAGCAGUGGAGCAUGUGGUUUAAUUCGAUUCAACGCGAAGAACCUUACCUGGGCUUGAAAGGCAUAUGACGUUAUGUGAAAGCAUAAUUCCCUUCGGGGCAUAUGUACAGGUGCUGCAUGGCUGUCGUCAGCUCGUGCCGUGAGGUGUUGGGUUAAGUCCCGCAACGAGCGCAACCCCUACCAUUAGUUGCCAUCAGGUUAAGCUGGGCACUUUAAUGGGACUGCCUACGCAAGUAGUGAGGAAGGCGGGGAUGACGUCAAGUCAGCAUGGCCCUUACGCCCAGGGCCACACACGUGCUACAAUGGAUGUUACAACGGGAAGCCAAGCCGCGAGGUGGAGCCAAUCCCAAAAAAAGCAUCCCCAGUUCGGAUUGGAGUCUGCAACUCGACUCCAUGAAGUUGGAAUUGCUAGUAAUCGCGCAUCAGCACGGCGCGGUGAAUACGUUCCCGGGCUUUGUACACACCGCCCGUCAAGCCAUGGAAGCCGGGGGUACCCGAAGUCAGUGACCCAACCGCAAGGAGGGAGCUGCCGAAGGUAAAACCGGUAACUGGGGCUAAGUCGUAACAAGGUAGCCGUACCGGAAGGUGCGGCUG
RNAcentral lists this ribosomal RNA (1514 nucleotides) under metagenome. RNAcentral describes it as "bacterial SSU rRNA". It matches the Rfam family "Bacterial small subunit ribosomal RNA". The record is from RNAcentral.